AUACCUUGUAGUCAGCAAUUCUGCUUUGUCAAAAGUAGAAUCAACAACAGAAGAGGCUGCCUUAGUGUGUUCGCUAUCCUCUGCUCCACUUGCACCUUCUUGACGACCACCGGGAGGAAUUGGAAUAGGAGAUGUAGGUGGCUUUAAAUCUUCAUAACUGCCAAGAUUAAAUCAGUCAGCAAAUAAGAUACACUAUGCUUGCGUGUAAGUAGUUGAACUAACUCAGGAAUGACUUAACGCAGUGUAUGGAGACAAAGGCCUUGUAGUCAGCAAUUCUACUUUGUCA
This 286-nucleotide long non-coding RNA is filed under the name Solanum lycopersicum (tomato). RNAcentral describes it as "partial TCONS_00166155". The record is from RNAcentral. Lineage: Eukaryota; Viridiplantae; Streptophyta; Magnoliopsida; Solanales; Solanaceae.